RNAcentral lists this ribosomal RNA (1168 nucleotides) under Klebsiella sp. enrichment culture clone SRC_DSD17. Its description in RNAcentral is "bacterial SSU rRNA". It matches the Rfam family "Bacterial small subunit ribosomal RNA". The record is from RNAcentral. Lineage: Bacteria; Pseudomonadati; Pseudomonadota; Gammaproteobacteria; Enterobacterales; Enterobacteriaceae.
GCUCAGAUUGAACGCCGGCGGCAGGCCUAACACAUGCAGGUCGAGCGGUAGCACAGAGAGCUUGCUCUCGGGUGACGAGCGGCGACGGGUGAGUAAUGUCUGGGAAACUGCCUGAUGGAGGGGGAUAACUACUGGAAACGGUAGCUAAUACCGCAUAACGUCGCAAGACCAAAGUGGGGGACCUUCGGGCCUCAUGCCAUCAGAUGUGCCCAGAUGGGAUUAGCUAGUAGGUGGGGUAACGGCUCACCUAGGCGACGAUCCCUAGCUGGUCUGAGAGGAUGACCAGCCACACUGGAACUGAGACACGGUCCAGACUCCUACGGGAGGCAGCAGUGGGGAAUAUUGCACAAUGGGCGCAAGCCUGAUGCAGCCAUGCCGCGUGUGUGAAGAAGGCCUUCGGUUGUAAAGCACUUUCAGCGGGGAGGAAGGCGUCAAGGUUAAUAACCUUGGCGAUUGACGUUACCCGCAGAAGAAGCACCGGCUAACUCCGUGCCAGCAGCCCGGUAAUACGGAGGGUGCAAGCGUUAAAUCGACCGCCUGGGGAGUACGGCCGCAGGGUUAAAACUCAAAUGAAUUGACGGGGGCCCGCACAAGCGGUGGAGCAUGUGGUUUAAUUCGAUGCAACGCGAAGAACCUUACCUGGUCUUGACAUCCACAGAACUUUCCAGAGAUGGAUUGGUGCCUUCGGGAACUGUGAGACAGGUGCCGCAUGGCUGUCGUCAGCUCGUGUUGUGAAAUGUUGGGUUAAGUCCCGCAACGAGCGCAACCCUUAUCCUUUGUUGCCAGCGGUCCGGCCGGGAACUCAAAGGAGACUGCCAGUGAUAAACUGGAGGAAGGUGGGGAUGACGUCAAGUCAUCAUGGCCCUUACGACCAGGGCUACACACGUGCUACAAUGGCAUAUACAAAGAGAAGCGACCACGCGAGAGCAAGCGGACCUCAUAAAGUAUGUCGUAGUCCGGAUUGGAGUCUGCGACUCGACUCCAUGAAGUCGGAAUCGCUAGUAAUCGUAGAUCAGAAUGCUACGGUGAAUACGUUCCCGGGCCUUGUACACACCGCCCGUCACACCAUGGGAGUGGGUUGCAAAAGAAGUAGGUAGCUUAACCUUCGGGAGGGCGCUUACCACUUUGUGAUUCAUGACUGGGUGAAGUCGUAACAAGGUAACCGUAG